GUCCCAGCCCUUGCCCCGCCUUUGAGGGGAUUGAAAC
Molecule: non-coding RNA, 37 nt
Organism: Armatimonadetes bacterium CG2_30_66_41
Lineage: Bacteria; Bacillati; Armatimonadota
Source: Rfam